AUGGCUCAGUUCCCCGCGGUUGCGGUGGUACUGCUGCUAGGCUGCUGCGUUCGUGCGUGGGACUUGGAUAACUGUUGCUCCUGUCACGUGGUCCAAUGCGUUCCGGUCGGCAGCCUCGUCUUCGUGCCGUGCCCGAGUCCAUCGCUCCCGGACCCCGACAACGCCGAGGUGAGCUUCCGGCUCGACCAUUCAGAAGAGAUGGCGUCCUACGACUUCGACGGAUCGAAGCUUGACGCCGGGCUGGAGGAAAACGUGACAAUGGCAAAGAGACGGACGGGGAUCAGUGUCAAGAUGCACUUGAACACGACGGCGUCGGACGGGUGGGCGCGGUUCGCGCUCAUCGGGGUCGCCGCGGAGGACAGCGGCCUUUAUCGGUGCAGCGCCAAGGUCAUCUACCCCGCCCCCGUGUUGACCCUCUGCAACGCGUCCACAGUGGACCUCCGCCUGGAAGGGCGUGGAUUGGGUUUCUCUUUGUGCUCAGGGCACCAGUGCGAGGCCCCUGUGGUCUGUGGCCCCCCGGUCUCCGGGCCCCCUGAGUGUCUCUCGACCUGGAUCUGGAUCGGGGCGAUGGCCGCCCUGGGUGUGUAUGCCCUGCUCGUCACCGUCGUGGCCUCGGUCAAAAUUGUGAGUCGCAGUCCGGUGUCUGCAUCACCUGACUCGCAGGCACUCAAACACUCACUCUCUCACUCUCUCUCUCACUCACUCACUCACUCACUCACUCACUCACUCACUCACUCACUCACUCACUCACUCACUCUCACACUCACUCACUCACUCAGUCAGUCAGUCAGUCAGUCAGUCAGUCAGUCAGUCAGUCAGUCAGUCAGUCAGUCAGUCAGUCACUCAGUCAGUCAGUCACUCAGUCACUCAGUCACUCACUCUAGCACACACGGACAUGUGGAUUUUUGGUAUUUGGUUGUUGGUCUGCCUUUGUAUUUUUCCAGCAGAUUAACAGAUAAGCACACACAAACACACACACACACACACAAACAUACACAUUUGGUUGAAAGUGAAUGCAAAGCGGCUCGAAAACAAAGUAGGACAGGAAACAGGAAAUCGCAUGUAAACCACAACAUUUUAUCAAAUACCCAGACUUGUGGGUUGUUUAUUUUAGUAAGGGUCUAA
RNAcentral lists this long non-coding RNA (1125 nucleotides) under Gadus morhua (Atlantic cod). RNAcentral's name for it is "lncRNA (ENSGMOG00000033814.1)". Lineage: Eukaryota; Metazoa; Chordata; Actinopteri; Gadiformes; Gadidae. The record is from RNAcentral.